This 486-nucleotide ribosomal RNA is filed under the name uncultured bacterium. Its description in RNAcentral is "partial 16S ribosomal RNA". It matches the Rfam family "Bacterial small subunit ribosomal RNA", at positions 30 to 507 of the family's 1533-position model. The record is from RNAcentral.
AUUGAACGCUGGCGGCAUGCCUUACACAUGCAAGUCGAACGGCAGCGCGGACUUCGGUCUGGCGGCGAGUGGCGAACGGGUGAGUAAUACAUCGGAACGUACCCUGUUGUGGGGGAUAACUAGUCGAAAGAUUAGCUAAUACCGCAUACGACCUGAGGGUGAAAGUGGGGGACCGGAAACGGCCUCAUGCAGCAGGAGCGGCCGAUGUCUGAUUAGCUAGUUGGUGGGGUAAAGGCCCACCAAGGCGACGAUCAGUAGCUGGUCUGAGAGGACGAUCAGCCACACUGGGACUGAGACACGGCCCAGACUCCUACGGGAGGCAGCAGUGGGGAAUUUUGGACAAUGGGGGCAACCCUGAUCCAGCAAUGCCGCGUGUGUGAAGAAGGCCUUCGGGUUGUAAAGCACUUUUGUCCGGAAAGAAAUCGUGCUGGUUAAUACCUGGCGUGGAUGACGGUACCGGAAGAAUAAGCACCGGCUAACUACGUG